This 254-nucleotide ribosomal RNA is filed under the name uncultured bacterium. RNAcentral's name for it is "partial 16S ribosomal RNA". It matches the Rfam family "Bacterial small subunit ribosomal RNA", at positions 524 to 776 of the family's 1533-position model. The record is from RNAcentral.
UACGUAGGGGGCGAGCGUUGUCCGGAUUUAUUGGGCGUAAAGAGCUCGUAGGCGGUUCGAUAAGUCGGAUGUGAAAUCUCCACGCUCAACGUGGAGGGGCCAUUCGAUACUGUCGUGACUCGAGUCCGGUAGGGGAGUGUGGAAUUCCCGGUGUAGCGGUGAAAUGCGCAGAGAUCGGGAAGAACACCGGUGGCGAAGGCGGCUCUCUGGGCCUGUCCUGACGCUCAGGCGCGAAAGCUAGGGGAGCGAACAGG